CAAAGUGUAUUUCUUCUUCAAAGAGUACGGUGGCUUUUAACUUUGAGACAUGGUUAUGACCAAAAAAGGAUUAUGAAUGCUUCCUUUUCUUCUUCAACUGAACGCUUCUUCUUCUUCUUCAACAGAGAGUGCUUCUUCUUCAAGAAUUAGAAAAAUUGAGAGAGAGAGAGAGAGAGAGAGAGAGAGAGAGAGAGAGAGAGACUGCUCUGAUACCUGAUCGAAAACAGAGAAGAAGCAAUAGAUUUUGAUGAUCGAAAACAGAGAAGAAGCAAUAGAUUUUGAUGAUCGAAAACAGAUAAGAAGCAAUAGAUUUUGAAAGGGGUUCCGGUAACGAGUAAGAGGUUUUUCAUUUUUCUUCGCUGUUGUAUAUUUUGAAGAAGAUUGACCCUCUUUUUAUAGGAGCUAAACCUAUUAUCUCCACACCCUUCGGUUCCGCCCCACGAGAGAUUUCUCUCAACAAACCAUUCCACGAUCCCACGUUUUCUCAUCCCCGCCAAAUCCAACCUCUCAGAACCCUAGCCCUAAUUCCCCCUUCACUCCCUCUCCCCUCUCGCCUAACCCAAAACCCUAGGUCCUUCUCGUCGCACGGCUCCGCAAACCCUAGCUUCUAUCCCGAAGAUCUCGGAAUCAAUGGAGUUGACGAUUCCAGCAAGGUCUCAGCUUGUAGUUUCGAAGAAACCAAUGAAAGCCGUAAAAAGGCGACGCCUUUGGCGAAAUCCCCGACAAAUUGGGCGAUUCUCGAGGAAGGGAUCAGUACCGAGCAAGUGCAGAGCGUUGUGUCCAUUUUGAAGGCCAACGCCGAAGAGGCGAUUGGGUUGAGCUUGGAUAAGUUGGAGUUUGCGGUGAAAGUGAUCGAAGCCUCGGAUAAUGUCGGUGAGAAUUUGAUUGAGUUCUUCAAACGGGCUUUGAAGAGUGAGAAACCUGUGAGAACUUCGAGAACUACAUAGAGCUUUUUGUUCAGUCUGUUAAGAGUUUACCUGCUCUCAGUACGAAGUAAGCUUACAUCUUAUGGGAUUUGGUUAAGGAGUUGGGCGAGGAGAAAGAGCUUCUAAAUACUGAGAUUCUUAAUGGGUUGACUUCCAUUUCCUGGAAAUUGAAAAAAGGUAAAUCAGCCUAUGAAGUUUUCAAUAAGUUUGAUGAGUCUGGUUGUAGUCCUAAUGCAGAAGUUUAUUAUUACACCAUUCAAUCUCUUACUAAGAGAUGGAUGUCCGCAACUGCAUGGUCGAUCUGUUUGUGAGGAUAUGAUAAAUUCUGGGAGCCUACCUGACAAGGGGAAGAUUGGAGAGAUUAUGAAUUUCUUUUGCGAGGCAAACAAGGCAAAAGAAGCCCAUUUGGUUUAUUUGACGGCGGAGGAGAAGAAUUUAUCUCCACCAAGAUCUAGUGUGGAUGUAUUAAUUCGCAGGCUUGCGCUAAAUGAUGAAACGGUUUCUUUAGCUUUGGAGUUGCUUGGGAACUAUCCGAUCAACUCAUUUAAACCCGCGACGAAGACUUUUCCUGCCAUUGUUAAUGGAAUGUGUAAGGUUAAGAAAAGCGAGGAGGUAAAAAAAAUUGCUAUUGAGAAUAGUUGAAUCAGGCCAGACUCCAAGGAAAGCUUAUUUCAAUAUUGCGAUUAACGCGCUUUCUAAAGAAGGAGAACUCGAGGAUGCGGUAGCUUUGUUGAAAAUAAUGGAGGGUAGAGGAUCACGGCCAGAUGUAUGUACUUAUACCGUUGUGACGGGUGGAUAUGCAGAGGGCGGUUGGAUGGAUGAGGCUUAUAAGAUCUUUUGUGAAGCCAAGAAAAGACAUGCUGAGCUUAGCCCUGCUGCUCAUCAUAUUCUUACUCGUGGCUAUUGCGAAAUCGGGGAGUUUGAAAGGGCCCUUGAUUGCUUGAAGGAAAUGAAGGAGCACGGCGUACAUCAGAGGAUUGGCGUACAUCAGAGAAACUCUUGGAGGAGAUGAAAGAGUUUGGUUUGUAUCUUAAGGGGGCAACUCGUUGAAGCUUGACCUCCUCUAAAGCCUGUUGAAGUUUAUACUUUCACAUUACCGAUUUUAUCCUCUUUCGUUUUGUGCUAGCGGCUACUUGUUCUAGUGAGCUGUAUAUACGUCUGUCUGAAUACCUCUAGCUGAGAGAGGAAACAGUUUGGAACUCUUUGCACCUUCACUUCCAUUUAAUUCAUUUCAUUUUCUUCCAUCAGUUUAUACUCAAUAUUGCGCAUGAUUGGCGCCGCUUGCUUUUUAUAUAUAACGGUGUCCUUUAUACUAACUCUUCUGCUUCCUGAUAUUAUUGUGUGAUUAGUGUGUCACUUUUGUUGAAUUCAUUCUGGUAAAGAAGGAUUUUUGUAGUCGAAUUUGUUCUGCUUACUCUCAGGAUAACUUCUGUUGUAAUAACAAAGACUGUAAAAUGAAGAGCGAGAGAGUCGAAAGGCAAUCGAGGAAUCUAGAACUGAAGGCCACGAAGCCGCAGCUUAUCUUCAAGAAAAGGCGAAGAGAUCACUCCUUUUGUGAAGGCAGCCACCAAAGAGGGUGCGAAUACAGGAAAAAUUCGAAGCUGGCAAAAUAGCUUUGGUCGGUCGACUGAUUUCUUAGACCAGUCAACCGAUAACAUGCACGCGGGAACUGUGAAAAUCGUCGCACUGGACAAUCGACUGAUGAACCAUUACCGGUCGACUAAUGAUGGACUACCGGUUGGCUAAUGAUGCUUCAUCAGUCGACCGAUAGCGGGUUAUUGGGCCGAAUCUGUUUCCUUGUCUGUUUUGGUUUAGGGUUUUAUAGUAGAAACACGUUUUGUUAGGGUUUUAAGAUCAGAAAAAUAGAGUUGUCUAAGCACUUUGAGAGGGAGAUUAUUGAGAGGGAGUGAGAUCUUGUUGGUUAGGAUUAUUGUGA
This is a long non-coding RNA of Asparagus officinalis (garden asparagus), 2862 nucleotides long. RefSeq lists it as uncharacterized. Lineage: Eukaryota; Viridiplantae; Streptophyta; Magnoliopsida; Asparagales; Asparagaceae. The record is from RefSeq and is a predicted model, not a curated record. The transcript is spliced from 4 exons.